Molecule: ribosomal RNA, 439 nt
Filed under: uncultured bacterium
Lineage: Bacteria
Description: bacterial SSU rRNA
Rfam family: Bacterial small subunit ribosomal RNA
Source: RNAcentral
AUGGGAACGCGAAGAACCUUACCUACUCUUGACAUCCAGAGAACUUAGCAGAGAUGCUUUGGUGCCUUCGGGAACUCUGAGACAGGUGCUGCAUGGCUGUCGUCAGCUCGUGUUGUGAAAUGUUGGGUUAAGUCCCGCAACGAGCGCAACCCUUAUCCUUUGUUGCCAGCGGUUAGGCCGGGAACUCAAAGGAGACUGCCAGUGAUAAACUGGAGGAAGGUGGGGAUGACGUCAAGUCAUCAUGGCCCUUACGAGUAGGGCUACACACGUGCUACAAUGGCGCAUACAAAGAGAAGCGACCUCGCGAGAGCAAGCGGACCUCAUAAAAUGCGUCGUAGUCCGGAUUGGAGUCUGCAACUCGACUCCAUGAAGUCGGAAUCGCUAGUAAUCGUAGAUCAGAAUGCUACGGUGAAUACGUUCCCGGGUCUUGUACACACCG